This 464-nucleotide ribosomal RNA is filed under the name uncultured bacterium. RNAcentral's name for it is "SSU rRNA". It matches the Rfam family "Bacterial small subunit ribosomal RNA", at positions 26 to 507 of the family's 1533-position model. The record is from RNAcentral.
AGAGCGAACGCUGGCGGCGUGCUUAACACAUGCAAGUCGAACGCGCAGCAUUCUGUAGCAAUACAGGGUGUGGGCGCGUGGCGAACGGGUGCGUAACACGUGGAUAACCUUCCUUGAGGUGGGAAUACCCAGUGAAAAUUGGGCUAAUACCGCAUAACAUCGCGAUGGCACAUGCUGAUGCGAUCAAAGGCGCAAGUCGCCACAAGAGGGAUCCGCGGCCGAUUAGCUUGUUGGCGAGGUAAUGGCUCACCAAGGCAAUGAUCGGUAGCCGGACUGAGAGGUUGCCGGCACACUGGAACUGAGACACGGUCCAGACUCCUACGGGAGCAGCAGUGGGGAAUAUUGGACAAUGGGCGCAAGCCUGAUCCAGCCAUGCCGCGUGAGUGAUGAAGGCCCUAGGGUUGUAAAGCUCUUUGUGCGGGAAGAUAAUGACGGUACGCAAGAAUAAGCCCGGCUAACUCGUG